RNAcentral lists this non-coding RNA (213 nucleotides) under Staphylococcus aureus. Its description in RNAcentral is "T-box sequence". It matches the Rfam family "T-box leader". From Rfam's summary of the family: Uncharged tRNA acts as the effector for transcription antitermination of genes in the T-box leader family. The record is from RNAcentral. Lineage: Bacteria; Bacillati; Bacillota; Bacilli; Caryophanales; Staphylococcaceae.
AUCGAAUAUUUAUCAAGGAAGAGUAAAUCAUUGAUUAAUGAUAGAGAGUGCAUGGUUGGUGUAAAUGCAUAUUAAUGAUGAUUGAAGGUAGCCUUAAAUUGAACGUUAAUUGAAACUAAGUAGGUUAAUGCGUGUGCGAGCGAUAAUCGUUAGAGUGCAAUAUAAGUGAUUAUAUUGAAUUUAGGUGGUACCACGGUUUAACCCGUCCUAUUU